RNAcentral lists this ribosomal RNA (253 nucleotides) under uncultured bacterium. RNAcentral's name for it is "partial 16S ribosomal RNA". It matches the Rfam family "Bacterial small subunit ribosomal RNA", at positions 524 to 776 of the family's 1533-position model. The record is from RNAcentral.
UACGUAGGGGGCAAGCGUUAUCCGGAUUUACUGGGUGUAAAGGGAGCGUAGACGGCGAAGAAAGUCUGAAGUGAAAGCCCGCGGCUCAACCGCGGAAUGGCUUUGGAAACUUUUUUGCUGGAGUACCGGAGAGGUAAGCGGAAUUCCUAGUGUAGCGGUGAAAUGCGUAGAUAUUAGGAGGAACACCAGUGGCGAAGGCGGCUUACUGGACGGUAACUGGCGUUGAGGCUCGAAAGCGUGGGGAGCAAACAGG